This is a non-coding RNA of Callithrix jacchus (white-tufted-ear marmoset), 47 nucleotides long. NCBI's taxonomy places the organism in Eukaryota, Metazoa, Chordata, Mammalia, Primates, Cebidae. The record is from Rfam.
CACCUGGCCUUAUUAAAGGCCACCACUUUCUAAACCCACAAAACUAU